RNAcentral lists this ribosomal RNA (833 nucleotides) under uncultured Actinomycetes bacterium. RNAcentral's name for it is "bacterial SSU rRNA". It matches the Rfam family "Bacterial small subunit ribosomal RNA", at positions 46 to 896 of the family's 1533-position model. The record is from RNAcentral. Lineage: Bacteria; Bacillati; Actinomycetota; Actinomycetes.
GCUUACCAUGCAGUCGAACGAUGAAGCUCUUUCGGGGGUGGAUUAGUGGCGAACGGGUGAGUAACACGUGGGUGACCUGCCCUUGGCUUUGGGAUAAGCCCUGGAAACGGGGUCUAAUACCGGAUAUGACAUGUUCCUGCAUGGGGGUGUGUUGAAAGUUCCGGCGGCUGAGGAUGGGCCCGCGGCCUAUCAGUUUGUUGGUGGGGUGAUGGCCUACCAAGGCGACGACGGGUAGCCGGCCUGAGAGGGCGACCGGCCACACUGGGACUGAGACACGGCCCAGACUCCUACGGGAGGCAGCAGUGGGGAAUAUUGCACAAUGGGCGAAAGCCUGAUGCAGCGACGCCGCGUGAGGGAUGACGGCCUUCGGGUUGUAAACCUCUUUCGACUCCGACGAAGCGUGAGUGACGGUAGGAGUAGAAGAAGCGCCGGCUAACUACGUGCCAGCAGCCGCGGUAAUACGUAGGGUGCGAGCGUUGUCCGGAAUUAUUGGGCGUAAAGAGCUCGUAGGCGGUUUGUCGCGUCGGCUGUGAAAUCCUGGGGCUUAACUCUGGGCUUGCAGUCGAUACGGGCAGACUUGAGUUCGGUAGGGGAGACUGGAAUUCCUGGUGUAGCGGUGAAAUGCGCAGAUAUCAGGAGGAACACCGGUGGCGAAGGCGGGUCUCUGGGCCGAUACUGACGCUGAGGAGCGAAAGCGUGGGGAGCGAACAGGAUUAGAUACCCUGGUAGUCCACGCUGUAAACGUUGGGCGCUAGGUGUGGGGAGCAUUCAUGUUUUCCGAGCCGUAGCUAACGCAUUAAGCGCCCCGCCUGGGGAGUACGGCCGCAAGGCUA